CAAGAUAUAACUUUUUAGUAAGGUGAAUCAUUUACACUGAUUAUAUUUCUGUGCGAUUCAGGAUGUCUUGA
This 71-nucleotide transfer RNA is filed under the name Oedaleus manjius. Its description in RNAcentral is "tRNA-Val". Lineage: Eukaryota; Metazoa; Arthropoda; Insecta; Orthoptera; Acrididae. The record is from RNAcentral. RNAcentral also lists the same sequence under 1 other name.